This 301-nucleotide ribosomal RNA is filed under the name uncultured bacterium. RNAcentral's name for it is "partial 16S ribosomal RNA". It matches the Rfam family "Bacterial small subunit ribosomal RNA", at positions 509 to 807 of the family's 1533-position model. The record is from RNAcentral.
CAGCCGCCGCGGGAAUACGUAGGGUGCGAGCGUUAAUCGGAAUUACUGGGCGUAAAGCGUGCGCAGGCGGUUAUAUAAGACAGAUGUGAAAUCCCCGGGCUCAACCUGGGACCUGCAUUUGUGACUGUAUAGCUAGAGUACGGUAGAGGGGGAUGGAAUUCCGCGUGUAGCAGUGAAAUGCGUAGAUAUGCGGAGGAACACCGAUGGCGAAGGCAAUCACCUGGACCUGUACUGACGCUCAUGCACGAAAGCGUGGGGAGCAAACAGGAUUAGAUACCCCAGUAGUCCCUGUCUCUUAUAC